RNAcentral lists this ribosomal RNA (256 nucleotides) under uncultured archaeon. RNAcentral describes it as "partial 16S ribosomal RNA". It matches the Rfam family "Bacterial small subunit ribosomal RNA", at positions 521 to 776 of the family's 1533-position model. The record is from RNAcentral.
UAAUACGGAGGAUGCAAGCGUUAUCCGGAUUUAUUGGGUUUAAAGGGUGCGCAGGUUGUUUGAUAAGUCAGUGGUGAAAGUCUGUCGCUUAACGGUAGGAUUGCCAUUGAUACUGUUGGACUUGAAUAUGGAUGAGGUAGGCGGAAUGUGUAGUGUAGCGGUGAAAUGCAUAGAUAUUACACAGAACACCGAUUGCGAAGGCAGCUUACUAAUCCAUCAUUGACGCUGAGGCACGAAAGCGUGGGGAUCAAACAGG